This 1380-nucleotide ribosomal RNA is filed under the name uncultured bacterium. RNAcentral describes it as "16S ribosomal RNA". It matches the Rfam family "Bacterial small subunit ribosomal RNA", at positions 9 to 1366 of the family's 1533-position model. The record is from RNAcentral.
GAGUUUGAUCAUGGCUCAGAUUGAACGCUGGCGGCAGGCUUAACACAUGCAAGUCGAACGGUAGCAGGAGAAAGCUUGCUUUCUUGCUGACGAGUGGCGGACGGGUGAGUAAUGCUUGGGAAUCUGGCUUAUGGAGGGGGAUAACUACGGGAAACUGUAGCUAAUACCGCGUAGAAUCGGAAGAUGAAAGUGCGGGACCGCAAGGCCGCAUGCCAUGAGAUGAGCCCAAGUGGGAUUAGGUAGUUGGUGGGGUAAAGGCCUACCAAGCCUGCGAUCUCUAGCUGGUCUGAGAGGAUGGCCAGCCACACUGGAACUGAGACACGGUCCAGACUCCUACGGGAGGCAGCAGUGGGGAAUAUUGCGCAAUGGGGGGAACCCUGACGCAGCCAUGCCGCGUGAAUGAAGAAGGCCUUCGGGUUGUAAAGUUCUUUCGGUAUUGAGGAAGGGAUGUGUGCUAAUAGUACAUAUCAUUGACGUUAAAUACAGAAGAAGCACCGGCUAACUCCGUGCCAGCAGCCGCGGUAAUACGGAGGGUGCGAGCGUUAAUCGGAAUAACUGGGCGUAAAGGGCACGCAGGCGGUUAUUUAAGUGAGGUGUGAAAGCCCCGGGCUUAACCUGGGAAUUGCAUUUCAGACUGGGUAACUAGAGUACUUUAGGGAGGGGUAGAAUUCCACGUGUAGCGGUGAAAUGCGUAGAGAUGUGGAGGAAUACCGAAGGCGAAGGCAGCCCCUUGGGAAUGUACUGACGCUCAUGUGCGAAAGCGUGGGGAGCAAAACAGGAUUAGAUACCCUGGUAGUCCACGCUGUAAACGCUGUCGAUUUGGGGAUUGGGCUUAGAGCUUGGUGCCCGUAGCUAACGUGAUAAAUCGACCGCCUGGGGAGUACGGCCGCAAGGUUAAAAACUCAAAAUGAAUUGACGGGGGCCCGCACAAGCGGUGGAGCAUGUGGUUUAAUUCGAUGCAAACGCGAAGAACCUUACCUACUCUUGACAUCCAUGGAAUCCUGUAGAGAUACGGGAGUGCCUUCGGGAACCAUGAGACAGGUGCUGCAUGGCUGUCGUCAGCUCGUGUUGUGAAAAUGUUGGGUUAAGUCCCGCAACGAGCGCAACCCUUAUCCUUUGUUGCCAGCGAUUUGGUCGGGAAACUCAAAGGAGACUGCCAGUGAUAAACUGGAGGAAAGGUGGGGAUGACGUCAAGUCAUCAUGGCCCUUACGAGUAGGGCUACACGACGUGCUACGAAUGGCGUAUACAGAGGGUGAGGAAAAUUGCGAGAAUGGAGCGAAUUCUCAGAAAAGGACGUCGAGCCCCGGAUUGGAGUCUGCGAACUCGAACUCCGUGAAGCCGGAAUCGGCGGUGAUCGCGAAUCGGAAUGUCGCGGUGAA